This 461-nucleotide ribosomal RNA is filed under the name uncultured bacterium. RNAcentral describes it as "partial 16S ribosomal RNA". It matches the Rfam family "Bacterial small subunit ribosomal RNA", at positions 339 to 795 of the family's 1533-position model. The record is from RNAcentral.
CUACGGGCGGCAGCAGUCGAGAAUCUUCCGCAAUGGACGAAAGUCUGACGGAGCGACGCCGCGUGCGGGAUGAAGGCCUUCGGGUUGUAAACCGCUGUCAGUGGGGAGGAAAUGCAUCAGGGUUCUCCCUGGUGUUUGACCGAUCCGCAGAGGAAGCGCAGGCUAAGUUCGUGCCAGCAGCCGCGGUAACACGAACUGCGCGAACGUUAUUCGGAAUCACUGGGCUUAAAGAGUUCGUAGGCGGCCUUUCAAGUCGGGUGUGAAAUCCCUCAGCUCAACCGAGGAAUUGCGCCUGGUACUGUUGGGCUUGAGGGGGAUAGGGGUGAGCGGAACUGAUGGUGGAGCGGUGAAAUGCGUUGAUAUCAUCAGGAACACCGGUGGCGAAGGCGGCUCACUGGAUCUCUUCUGACGCUGAGGAACGAAAGCUAGGGGAGCGAACGGGAUUAGAUACCCCAGUAGUC